This 484-nucleotide ribosomal RNA is filed under the name uncultured bacterium. RNAcentral's name for it is "partial 16S ribosomal RNA". It matches the Rfam family "Bacterial small subunit ribosomal RNA", at positions 28 to 507 of the family's 1533-position model. The record is from RNAcentral.
AUUGAACGCUGGCGGCAUGCUUUACACAUGCAAGUCGAACGGCAGCGCGGGCUUCGGCCUGGCGGCGAGUGGCGAACGGGUGAGUAAUGCAUCGGAACGUGCCCAGUAGUGGGGGAUAGCCCGGCGAAAGCCAGAUUAAUACCGCAUACGACCUGAGGGUGAAAGCGGGGGACCGAAAGGCCUCGCGCUAUUGGAGCGGCCGAUGUCGGAUUAGCUAGUUGGUGGGGUAAAGGCUUACCAAGGCGCCGAUCCGUAGCUGGUCUGAGAGGACGACCAGCCACACUGGGACUGAGACACGGCCCAGACUCCUACGGGAGGCAGCAGUGGGGAAUUUUGGACAAUGGGGGCAACCCUGAUCCAGCCAUGCCGCGUGCGGGAAGAAGGCCUUCGGGUUGUAAACCGCUUUUGUUCGGGAAGAAAUCCUCUGGGCUAAUACCCCGGGGGGAUGACGGUACCGGAAGAAUAAGCACCGGCUAACUACGUG